UGCAGUCGAACGGAUCCUUCGGGAUUAGUGGCAGACGGGUGAGUAACGCGUGGGAAGCUACCUUGUGGUAGGGGACAACAGUUGGAAACGACUGCUAAUACCCUAUGAGCCCUAUGGGGGAAAGAUUUAUCGCCAUGAGAUGUGCCCGCGUUAGAUUAGCUAGUUGGUAAGGUAAUGGCUUACCAAGGCGACGAUCUAUAGCUGGUCUGAGAGGAUGAUCAGCCACACUGGGACUGAGACACGGCCCAGACUCCUACGGGAGGCAGCAGUGGGGAAUAUUGGACAAUGGGGGCAACCCUGAUCCAGCCAUGCCGCGUGUGUGAUGACGGCCUUAGGGUUGUAAAGCACUUUCAGCAGUGAAGAUAAUGACAUUAACUGCAGAAGAAGCCCCGGCUAACUUCGUGCCAGCAGCCGCGGUAAUACGAAGGGGGCUAGCGUUGUUCGGAAUCACUGGGCGUAAAGAGUACGUAGGCGGACUGAUAAGUUAGGGGUGAAAUCCCAAGGCUCAACCUUGGAACUGCCUUUGAUACUGUCAGUCUUGAGAUCGAGAGAGGUGAGUGGAACUCCGAGUGUAGAGGUGAAAUUCGUAGAUAUUCGGAAGAACACCAGUGGCGAAGGCGGCUCACUGGCUCGAUACUGACGCUGAGGUACGAANGCGUGGGGAGCAAACANNANNNNAUACCCUGGUNNNCCACGCCGUAAACGAUGAAUGCUAGUUGUCAG
RNAcentral lists this ribosomal RNA (723 nucleotides) under bacterium 21A6. Its description in RNAcentral is "bacterial SSU rRNA". It matches the Rfam family "Bacterial small subunit ribosomal RNA", at positions 56 to 826 of the family's 1533-position model. The record is from RNAcentral.